GAUGAUUUCCACCGGGAGCCCGAACGCGCGGCUCGGGGAACGCGGCACAACCGAGCGCCUCACCUUGCGAUCGCGGCGCAAGAUGGUGGGCAGGCCGACGCGCGGCGGGGGAGCGGGCGCGCACUGCGCAGGCGCGGCGGGGCGGGGCAGAGCGCGGUUGCGCGCUCCCGCGGGGAGGCGGUCGCGGGGUGGAGCGCGCAUGCGCGCCGCCGCUCCUCCCUCCCCUCCGUCUUUUACCUCAGCGCCUGCCGCUUUUGCCGCCAUUUUGUGCCGCCGCGGCGGCUCCUCCGUUGUGUUCACGGGCGGUGCGAGCCGAAAAAACGGCCCCAUGGCGGACAGUCAGCUAGCGGCCGGGCCGGGAGAACCCGCCUCUCUGUGUGCGGCUGGGCUCUCCGGUUCGGAGCCUGAAACCCGCCGGCGGCUGAGCGAGCUGCGGGUGAUCGACCUGCGCGCCGAGCUCAAGCGGCGCAGUUUGGACAGCGGCGGCAACAAGAGCGUCCUCAUGGAGCGGCUGCGGAGGGCUAUUGAGGAGGAAGGGGGGAAUCCUGAUGAAAUUCCAGUGGUUUCAGAAAAUGUCAUGAAGAAAACUCCAAAAAGAAGCAGCAAAGGACGUAGACCAGAUGACGAGGGAGUAGAAGAUAAUGGCCUGGAAGAGGACUCGGGAGAUGGACAGGAGGAUAUUGAAGCAAGUUUGGAUAACUUGCAGGAUAUUGACAUGAUGGAUAUUAGUGUGUUAGAUGAAGCUGAAAUAGAUAAUGGCAAUGCGGUAGAUUGCGGAGAGGAUUACAGUGCUGAUAAUAUUCUUGACUCACUGUCUGAUAGUAAAGAAAAUGCUGAUGCAGAAGUGAAAGAACUUCCAGAUCAGCCUGCAGAAUAUGCUCUAGGUAACUUGGAGGCAUCCCCACAAUUUUCAGACAUUAAAGAAGAAUCAAGAGAAAUACCAGUAGCGAUGGCAGAGGCUGAAGAUGUUGGAACCAGUUCAGAUGCUGCUUCAGCUGGUUUAACCGUAAUAAAGGAACUUGAAGAAUUACCUUUGGAGCCAGAAAAUGAGAAAAUACUCGACAUUUUGGGGGAAACUUGUAAAUCUGAGCUACUUAACGAAGAAACUUCCGAAGCGGAGCGGCCGCAUGCACAGGAAGCCAGUAACGUGGUGCCAGGCAAGAGGCUGGCAGAGGAAGAGGACGCUCUUGGUGGCGCUCAGGUGGAGGAAGAUGCUUUAGAUUUGGACAGCAAAGCGGCCCAAGCUAUGGCAAGGAAGGAAGCAAAGCGUUUAGUUGUAGCAAAAGGGGAGACAAGUGAACAGACAAUAGAGGAAGCGAAGCCGGACUCUGACUCUUUAGUAGUAGAGAGCCUGAGCGAUCAGAGUAGCAAACGCUCCCCAGGCCUGGAAGCCUCUAGUGGGGAACCGGCGGCCAAAGGCGCAGGUCCCGAAGCCAAAGAUAGCAAAGAAGAUGCCAAGAAAGCAGAAGACAAAGCUAAUUCAGAGGAACCCCCUGCUACUAAAGAGUCCUCAGCCAGUGAGGGCGGUGAUCAGAAAAAGAGCCCCGGUGAGGAGGACAGAGAUACAAAGAUGAUCUCAAAGGAUGAGAAGGGCCGUGGGGGCAGUGGUUCUGGCAGAAACUUGUGGGUUAGUGGCCUUUCAUCCUCUACUAGAGCUACAGACUUGAAGAAUCUGUUCAGCAAGUAUGGAAAGGUGGUUGGUGCCAAAGUGGUGACCAACGCUCGCAGCCCCGGCUCCCGCUGCUACGGCUUUGUCACCAUGUCAACAUCAGAGGAAGCCACCAAAUGCAUUAAUCACCUCCACAGGACAGAGCUGCAUGGCAAAAUGAUUUCAGUGGAAAAGGCAAAAAACGAACCGGCUGGGAAAAAACCUUCAGACAAAAAGGAAGGGGAAACAAGGAAGGAAAAAGACAGGCACCAUCCUGCAGAGCCCAAGUCUGAGAAGUCUGUUGGUGUUAAGAAGGAGGAGAAGCCUGACAAAAAGGAUGAGGCUAAGAAAGCAGAAAAAGAUGGAAAAGACGAAAAAGAAGGAAAAGAGAAAGAUGACCAAAAGGCUGGAUCCUCUGAUAGAUCCAGGGCAAGCAAGUCAGCGAGUCGAGGAACCGAGAGGACGGUGGUGAUGGAUAAAUCAAAGGGAGAACCAGUUAUUAGUGUGAAAACUUCCACGUCAAAAGAGAGGAGUACAAAGAGCCAGGAUCGCAAAUCUGAGAGCAAGGAAAAACAAGAUAUUUUAUCCUUUGAUAAAAUCAAAGAGCAGCGAGAGCGGGAACGGCAGCGACAGCGGGAGCGGGAGAUCCGGGAGACCGAAAGGCGCCGAGAGCGAGAGCGGCGGGAUCGGGAGCAGCGGCUUCAGGCUAUUCACGAGCGGGAUGAGAGGCAGCGGCUGCAGAGGGAGCGGGAGCGGCUGGAAUUCCAGAGGCAGCGGCUUGACAGAGAGCGCCUGGAGAGGGAGAGGUUGGAGAGGGAAAGAAUGCACAUAGAGCAGGAGAGGAGGCGAGAGCAGGAGCGGAUCCAGCGGGAGCGGGAAGAGCUGCGGCGUCAGCAGGAGCAGCUCCGCUAUGAACAGGAGCGGAGAUCUGCCAUGCGGAGGCCUUAUGAUCCCGAUGGCAGGCGGGAUGACCCGUACUGGUCCGAGGCGAAGCGGAUGGCGCUGGACGAUCGGUACCAUUCUGAAUUCAGCCGCCAGGAUCGCUUCCACGACUUUGACCACAGGGAUCGUGGCCGGUACCAGGAUCAUUGUUUGGACAGAAGAGACGGUUCGAGAGGAAUACCGGAUCGCGAUGGGCAGCACUACCCGGAGGAGCGGCACGGAGGCCCUGAGCGGCAUUCCCGGGAUAGCUGGGGUGGCUACGGCUCCGACCGGAGGAUGAAUGAAGGGAGAGGGAUCCCCCCUCCGACCCGAGCUGGCCCUGGCUGGGGAGAGGAUGGCCCAAGGUUAGAGGGGCACCGAGAUCGUUCAUGGCAGGGCAGUGUGGCUGGAGGAGUGAUGGGACGGGAUCGUGAGCAAGGUGGUGAUAGAAGCAUGCCUGGUCAGUCAGGACCAGGCCAUGUGGUGAAUCGAGGAGGGCUGUCAGGGUAAGGAGCUUUGUCAGAGUGUGCUGCUCAUGUCGUGCCAAUAGUUGCCCUGUCUAACAGAAGAAAUCCCUGUCUCAAUCAUGCCAAACACUUUGCGCCUUCUCCUUAACUAUGGAUUGGCGCGGAGGCUUCACGCAGCUCGGGAACCAGAGCCAAGUGCUGCCCAGCACCGGGAUCCAGGGAGUGUUUGCAGGACAGGAGCGACCGCCCCGGCCCCCGGAGCCGCGCUUCACCCGCCGCUACUGAGAGCCCCCGUCUCCCCCUACAGAGCUCAACCUCUAUUUUUCUUUAAUGCCAGAUGACAACAAGUGGUGACUUUUAUGCCCCUUGACUUUGGAAGGACAGCAGGAGGCUGCUGCCGCCUCGUAGCCAAAUGUCAACUCUGCGUCAGUUUGGUUUUAUUCUCUCUUUUUUUUGUAAUAAACGUGUUCUUGGUCAAACAUCCCCUCAGGUUUCUGGUAGUUGAAACAUUCCAUUUUGCAAUAACAAUAAACUCGGUUUCGGCUGCUCC
Strigops habroptila (Kakapo) is the source of this 3586-nucleotide RNA transcript. It is a transcript of the gene named scaffold attachment factor B1-like, with no coding region annotated. The transcript has 21 exons. The record is from RefSeq and is a predicted model, not a curated record. Lineage: Eukaryota; Metazoa; Chordata; Aves; Psittaciformes; Psittacidae.